Molecule: ribosomal RNA, 731 nt
Filed under: uncultured bacterium
Lineage: Bacteria
Description: bacterial SSU rRNA
Rfam family: Bacterial small subunit ribosomal RNA
Source: RNAcentral
AACAGGAUUAGAUACCCUGGUAGUCCAUGCCGUAAACGAUGUCUACUAGCCGUUGGGGCCUUUGAGGCUUUAGUGGCGCAGCUAACGCGAUAAGUAGACCGCCUGGGGAGUACGGUCGCAAGACUAAAACUCAAAUGAAUUGACGGGGGCCCGCACAAGCGGUGGAGCAUGUGGUUUAAUUCGAUGCAACGCGAAGAACCUUACCUGGCCUUGACAUACUAAGAACUUUCCAGAGAUGGAUUGGUGCCUUCGGGAACUUAGAUACAGGUGCUGCAUGGCUGUCGUCAGCUCGUGUCGUGAGAUGUUGGGUUAAGUCCCGCAACGAGCGCAACCCUUUUCCUUAUUUGCCAGCGGGUUAAGCCGGGAACUUUAAGGAUACUGCCAGUGACAAACUGGAGGAAGGCGGGGACGACGUCAAGUCAUCAUGGCCCUUACGGCCAGGGCUACACACGUGCUACAAUGGUCGGUACAAAGGGUUGCUACCUCGCGAGAGGAUGCUAAUCUCAAAAAGCCGAUCGUAGUCCGGAUCGCAGUCUGCAACUCGACUGCGUGAAGUCGGAAUCGCUAGUAAUCGCGGAUCAGAAUGCCGCGGUGAAUACGUUCCCGGGCCUUGUACACACCACCCGUCACACCAUGGGAGUUUGUUGCACCAGAAGUAGGUAGUCUAACCGCAAGGAGGACGCUUACCACGGUGUGGCCGAUGACUGGGGUGAAGUCGUAACAAGGUAACC